CUCGCACCUGCCUCCCAGGUGCGCGCGCUCCCUCCGCCCGUCCCCGCGCGCCUCCAGCCCCUUCCAGGGGUGCUGACGUUGCCCUGAGUUUGGUGGCCGCGCGUCCACCCGCCCGACUGCAGCUUUGUUGUCAUACUCUCCGGGUCCUCCUUUUCAACCCCUCAGGAGUCCUGGUUUCCAGUCACUGGGAUUUGGAGGUGAAGUCCCUGCCUACAGAGUUGGAAAGAUCUGUGUGUGUUGGUGGUGUAGUGGUGAGCAUAGCUGCCUUCCAGAGUUGGAAAGAUCAAGCACUGCUGAUCUCCCUCUCAAGAAGCACUCAAAAGGUAAUUCAUGGGUCCCCUACCUGAGGAUCACAGACUUGUACCGAUGAAGGU
Molecule: long non-coding RNA, 374 nt
Organism: Chinchilla lanigera (long-tailed chinchilla)
Lineage: Eukaryota; Metazoa; Chordata; Mammalia; Rodentia; Chinchillidae
Exons: 3
Source: RefSeq, a predicted model, not a curated record